This is a long non-coding RNA of Tympanuchus pallidicinctus (lesser prairie-chicken), 9248 nucleotides long. RefSeq lists it as uncharacterized. Lineage: Eukaryota; Metazoa; Chordata; Aves; Galliformes; Phasianidae. The transcript is spliced from 11 exons. The record is from RefSeq and is a predicted model, not a curated record.
AGGUGUUUGCCAGUUGUCCUCUAGACUUAUUGAAGAAUGUUGAUGCUGUCCAAGCCAAGAACUGGUGUUCUUCAGUUGACAUGUAGUUCAUUUGGGGAGCUUGCUCAGGUCACGUACUUUGUCAGCACCAAUAAAGAUGAUUCACAGCACUUGCAGCUAUUUAAACAAGCAGAGCCGUCCUCCCUCCCAAAGGUUCACACUAGGCACUGGGCUUUGUAAUCCCACGGAAUCAUGGAAGCUCAAAAAGACAACUAAGAUCAUCAGAUCCAAGCAUCAGGUAUAGGCCGAAGAGGAAGAGAAAUGCAGACAAUGUGAAACAGCUCUCUGUUCCCAAGUCCUGCAUCAUUCCUGGUUCUGCAAGAUGUGAUGAAAGUACUCAUCAUAAUAAAAAAGCCGCAUCAUCUAUCAGAUGCUGAGGGAAACAACAAAUGAAAAAAUUCACCAACUGGAAACAGCCCAUCUGCCACAUCAGCACCAACAUGUGAUCAGAAGUUAUCGAUCCUAGAGUAAAUGAGGUCAGCUCUUCAGGACUUCAAUUUCCCUAUACAAGGCAGUGGGAGCUAUGCAAGAGGUCUGAACACUGGAGGGCCCCAGCGAGAAGAGAGUUGCAGAGGUGCUCUGUUGCUUGUGGAGUGGUCAGGUAUGUUUCAGAUCAUAUUACGUAAGCUGAAUUCCACUGAAAACCUGGACGCAUUCCUGUAGCUCACAAUCAUUUUUUAAACUCAAGAUAGAUUAGUUGGGAAAAGAAGGAAAAUGAUUUACUGGCCAAAGAAAAUAAUUAACAUUCUCUGGAUUGAGAAAACUUCCUUUCAUGUUUUUGCCCUUUGCUUCUUGUCCUGUCAGUGUCUUGUCACCACAGAGAGAGUCUGGUUUAUUUUCUUUUGCUCCCCCUGACCACCACCAGAGAUGACAUGAAUUAUCCUUCUGACACUGGAUCUGAUGUUGAUGCAAGAAGCCUGGACUGGGAGAACAGAAGGUAUUAUCUCCUUUCCCAGCUCCAGAUAAUGCCCAAGCAAAAAAUGCCAGCAAGUUCAGCUGCAGAAGCACUAGCACUGCCAAUGCACUAGAAAUGGGAUUGUGAUGUUGAGCUCUGACAUGGAUAACAUGGAGUCCUUCUCCUCAUGGAAGUGAAGCUGAAGACAGAGUGUUUCUAAUGCAGCUCCAGCACAGAAACCUCCCAUUGAACACAUCUCUUGGGCUGGAGGAUAAGGAUGAGGUGGGGAUAACGUAGAGAAAGUAAAAGAAUCCCAAUACAAAACACUUCUAUUUGCCUACAAGAAGAUCCUGAGUGUGUUCACGUUUGCUAUCAGCUUCCUAAAAAAAAGAGGAAGAGCUUUAAAUCAAGCAGAUGGUUCCUCUGUGGUGGUAUUACACAUCUGCCCUGCUGUCCUUCCUGAGGAAAAUUAUGACAGACCUCUGAAAAUGACACAGUCCAGCAAUUUGGAUGCUCACAGUCUUCCAGAAGACAACACCAGUAGCAGCAGUUCAAAAUGAUGUCUCAAAUUGCCUUCAUCCAUAUGAACAGCUGAUUCUUCAGUCCUUAUCCAGUGAGGAAAGUUGUGUUUUCAGACAAAAAAAGAUGAUUCACAAGGAGAUCACAGAGUUGUGGGGGUUGGAAGGGACCUCCGAAGAUCAUCAAGCUCAACUCCCCUGCAAAGCUGGCCCCCUACAGCAGGCUGCACAGGUAGGUGUCCAGGUGGAUCUUGAAUAUCUCCAGAGAAGCAGAAUCCACAACCCGCCUGGGCAGCUUGUUCCUGUGCUCCGUCACCCUCACUCUGAAGAAGUUAUUUUGCAUAUUGAUGUGGAACUUCUUAUACUUCAGUCAUGACUGUUUUCCCUUGUCCUGUCCCCAGAGACCAUGAGAAAAGAGGUUGGCCAUGUCUCCUUGAUUCCCACACAGAUAUUUAUGUGCAUUAAUAAGAUCACCUCUCAGUCUUCUUUUCUCAUGGCUGAACGGACCCAGGUCACCCAGCCUCUCCUCACAGGGGAAUACUCCAGGCCCUUUAUCGUCUUUGAGGCCCUUUGCUGUACUCUUUCCAGGAGACCCCUGUCUUUUUUGUACUGGGGAGCCCAGUCCAGGAUACAGACUGGCCAGGGCAGAGUAGAAGGGGAGGAUCACCUCCCUUGACCUGCUGGCACGUUCCUUUUAAUGCACCCCAGGAAUCCCAUUGGCCUUCUAGGCCACUAGGGCACACUGCAUGGCCAACCUGUUGUCAACAAGACCCCCAGGUUCUUCUCCACAGAGCUCCUCUCUAGCAGUUCAUGCCUCAGCCUGUUCCCAGGUGCAAGACUCCACUCUUGCUUUUAUUAAACCUCAUUUGGUUUAUUGUUGCCCAGCUCUCCAAUCUGUGCAGGUCUCUCUGAAUGGCAGCACAGCCUUCAGCUGUGUCAGCCACUCCUCCCAACUUUGUAUCAUAGGCAUACUUGCUGAGGGUGGGCGCUAUCCCCUCAUCAAGGCUGUCGAUGAAGACAUUGAACAAGACUGGUCCCAGCACCAACCCUUGGGGAACACUACUACUCACAGGUCUCCAACCAGACUCUGCAUCACCAAUCACAACCUCUGAGCUCAGCCAGUCAGCCAAUUCUCAACACAUUUCACAGUCCACUCAUCUAUCCCACACUUUCUCAGCUUCAAGAUCAGGGGAACAUGUGAGAUGGUAUCAAAAACCUUGUUGAAGUCAAGGUAGAUGACAUCCACUGCUCUCCCCCCAUCUACCUAGCUGGUGAUGCCACCAGAGAAGGCUACGGGGUUUGUCAAACAUGAUUUUCCCUAGGUGAAUCCAUGCUGAAAAUGAACUUCAGAAGUUCCUGAUUAACUUCUUCUCUUCCAAUUGCUUGGAGAUGACAUCUAGAACAAGCUGUUCCAUCACCUUUCAAGGAACAGAGGUGAGACUGACUGGCCUUGAGUUUCCUGAAUUCUCCUUCUUUCCCUUUUUGAAACUGGAGUGACACUAGUUAUCCUCCAGUCUUCAUGCACCUCUUCUGUUCUCCAAGACCUGACAAAGAUGAUAGUGAUUCAACAUUCACCUCUGCCAGCUCCCUCAGCAUGUGUGGAUGCAUCCCAUCAGGGCCCAUUUGUGCACAUUGACCCCACCUAAGCUCUCCUGAACCACCCCCUCUUCAACCAGAGGGAAGCUCUCAAUUUCCCAGUCUUCCCUUCAGGCAUCCUGAGGGUGAAUCUUUGAAGUGAAGACCAAAGCAAAGGAGGCAUUCAGCAUCUACACCUUCUCAGCAUCCCCCAUUACCUGGCCACCUCCCUCGUUCAGCAGGGGACCCACAUUAUCACUAGUCUUCCUUUUACUAUUAACAUACAUUUUAAAACCCCUUCUUAUUAUCCUUACUCCUCCCGCUUCAGCUCCAGGUGAGCUUUAGCCUUCCUCUUCACUUCCCUGCAUGUCCUGACAACACUCCCUAUGCUCCUCCCAAUAGGGCAAGAACUUUUGCUGCAUUUCAUAAACCUUCUUUUUCCCACCUACUCCCAGAUGGAGCUCAUUACAUUCUAGUUUGUCUCUCGCAUAGAGGGGCAGCUCCUCCACCUUGCUUCCUCAGCCUGACUUUCCAAAAAAGAACAUAAUCCUCCAUAGACAGCACUCCAGUCACAUGAGCUUUCCCACCAGGUAUCUGUGCUUGCAGUGAGAAGCUAUCCUAUUAAUUUCCUGUGCUGCAUGCAAUGGUAUGCAGGCACUUAAGGGAAGCAGCAGGUGUAAGUAUCCCAUUGUUUUGCCCUGCAACCAUUUUGAAAAUAAGAUUUGUCCUAUUUGUGCUCCAGACUUAAAUUAAUACUACAUAUAGUUUGAGUACCUAUAUGUAAUUGUUAUUUUACACACUGUCUUGAAAACGAUUCUUAUUUUUCAUUGUAAAUUAUUUGUGGAGAGGACAUGGUAUGCAUUUAUGAAAUUAAUCUCCAUAAUUAACAAAGCCUUCUUCUAUUGUCUACUAAAUUUUCCUGAACUCUUCUUCACAUGCUUGAGCAGAGGUUAAAAGAGUCAAGGUCAGCUGAGAAUCUUCUGACAAAAUAUCUCUGCGCAUGAAAAAGUAUGUACAUGUAGGAUAGGAAUUUCAACCAAAAGAGCAAAGUCAAUUUAUUUUAUUUUAUUUUAUUUUAUUUUAUUUUUUACACACUGUAGUAAAUUAGUUUUAGCACAGGGCAAGUCUUUGCACUGAUGGGAACUAUGUAAACAUUCAGAGAGAUUCAUUAUCAUUGUUUUAAGCAUUUCCAUCCACUCAUGAAUCUUGUUACAGAAGCAAGAAAGAAAGAAAGAAGUAAAGGUACUGUUUUGUGCUGAGCUUACCUGACACUUCUGCUGUGACAUGGUGCCUGUCAUACUUUGAAUAUAUUUUCCAGCUGUUUCAAAUUUUUGUCUCUUUACACUUAGGAGAGGGGAAAUCACACUAUCAGACUUACCAGCUGUUCUUGGUGUUAUCUGGACUGGUUUUAAUGCCCAGGAGGGAAUACUGUUCCUUCAUGAAUUAUGAAACUCUCAUACGUUCAUGGUACUGUGGUGAGCUUGGGUGAAAUCUGCCAGGUGGCUCUUCUGUUCUUGCCUUGGAAAUGUGGUUAUCUUUCAAAGAACCCAUCACUGACUAAAUGUAUUUAGACUUCAGUAAAUAAAACCACAGAGCCUUAUUGUUGGGAUCAUCCUUACAAAUGUUUCUUGGUCUCUCACAAUCCAUAAACUUAUGUACUGUGAAAUGUUUGCCUACGAAUGAUCUCAGUGCAGGUUUCCCUUUGUAACACUUUGAAGGUGGGUUCUCAUUUCAUCUCAUGCACGUGAAUAUCUACCUGCAUACAGGAGUGUGUGAAUAGCAAAGCCCUAGGGAGAAUUAAAUGACAUUUAUCCUGUACUUCCAAUUGAUUUACUUCUGAUGUGCCCAUUAAUUUAUUGCAAGAGAUUCCUAUGAGACUUUUUGAAACUACAUAUGAAUGUAAAGAUUCCUUACAAAUGUGAGACAAUGUAACAUUUACAUUCAAACGGAUGGCUGAGGAUGAGGGGAAAAAAAAAAAAGUGGCAGCAAAGAGGGUUAUAUCUUGAUUUUUCCAUAGAGAUGUUUUCAGGCACUGAGAACGUGCCUGUGCAUUUGUGCAGUCAGAAAAGAAAUAAGCAAUAUAAGCUUUUCCAGGAUAAAAAAAAAAAAAAAAAAGAUUUAAUUGUAAAUAUUUGGCAUUAGAACACCAAUCCAGAACAAGAAGAAAGCCUAAGGCGCUCUGUAGGAGCUGGUUAGGGCAAGUGCCAUGAAAAGCCUUCGAUAAAUGGCUUUAUUGUAUUGCCCUCUACCGAAACUACCGAAGAUUGCAGACUGAUACUUAACGCGAAGGAAAAAAAGCUCGGGCAGGAGAGCCGUGAGAUGGGUACAAACACGUUGUUUCACACUGCUCAGCAGAGUCUCAGAUUCGAAUACUUCUGGAUUUGGAAUCCAAAGAGGGGCUCGGGUUUUGUUCUGUCUCACUGAAGGGAUAUUCAUUUCUUUAGAGAAGAAUCUGUGUAGGCAGGACAGAGAUCCGAAGUUAUAAACUUGCCAAGAAAAUGGGUAUUAUAUCCUUGAACUUAUAGGAAAAGAAAAAAAGAAAGCUUUCUGAGUUACAGAGGCAGAUGGGUUCAGAGCUGAUGAGAGAACUGUUGCAUGAAACUGUGAGGAAAAGAUCUCUCUGGGUCCUGUGCCUCAGAUUAUUAUUAUUUUAUUAUUAUUAUUAUGUUUGCAUGCUGAAAGAAAGUUUUGCGUGAAGCUAUGAAAGUAUUUAAUUACUGUAUAGGUGAAUUAGCCAAUUUUACACACUGGAAUAAUCCCUUAAAAGAAAACCUUCUUUCCAUACAAGGAAUUUGAGAAGGUGAAUUACUCGUGGCAGCAAGCUGAAGAUCUGACUUGUUUUGUGUAAAAGAUGAAAGAUCAGGCCAUGACUCUUGGCUCUCUAAGAUGCACUGGCUGUAGUUUCAUUCCACCAAGUUAAUUCACGGGUUCUGUGCUCUUGUUCAGCGUUAGCAAGGUCACCCAAGCUUUUGAAUGGAAAAGAAAAAAAUGUAUCAGAAUGACAGUUUUAAAGAACCAAGAUAAUAGAGUUCUGUGUUUGUUGGAUUUCUCACAAAUAAGGCAGCAGAACAUCUCUAAGUAAAAAGACACAUUUAGGUGUUCCUUCUUCCAAAGGCUAACUCACAGCCCUACAGCACUGCCCACAGUUUGUUGUGACAUCCUUGCUGGAACCGAGAAUUUAUGAGCGUCGUUUUGGUUGUCUUGUCUCAAAGUGUUGAACUCUGCUUUUCGUGACUUUGAAUGAGCAGGGUAAAAGUUAGGAGGACUCACCUGUAUUUUUAAGGAAGCCUUACUGAUAUUGUUUUUACCUUAGCAUUUCAUAAAGCACAUUUUGAUUGCUGAAAUAGCUGUGGUACCACUGACAAUAAAAGCAUAUUAGCAUGCUGCAUCUCCUUAUGCAGCGUGUCAAAGUUGGAGAUGUGUUGUGAAAGUCCUUCAAAUACCUCUGUUGUGAGGAUGAUGUAAAAAGGCUCAUUUACAGAAUUUACUCUAGUGAAUUGCUCAUAGAAACAGAGAGGGUUCCUGCGAAACGGUGAUUUGAGGCCAAAAAGUACUAUCCUAAGUGUGCCUCAUUACAUAGCUGGAGGUUUUCAUAGGUGUCUUGUAUUUAUUGUAUAAGCAUCUUGUAUGUAUUGUAUCACCUCUUGGAGUGGGGAAAUGGAGGGAUCUGUUCUGUCUCGGUUUCUCGAGUAAGCAAUGAGACUUCGCUGGAGGUAAACUGACGUCUGAAGGAAUAGCGACCUCAGCAGACCGACAGGUGACGUUACUUCAAUUUUAGGUCCUCUUCUUUUUGUGAAAUAAAGGUAAAGGAAAUUGUUUUAUGUUAAACGUUCCAUUUCACAUUGAGUGAGACUGAGGGAAAAAAAAAGUAAGUAUUUAGCAAAUAAAGUCCACAUACUUGAUGAUACACAUGAAAAGUGUUUUCCUUCUGUCUUUUUUUGACACUGUUGCCAUGAGAGUGAAACUCUGAAAAUCUUGUUUUCUCUGAAGAAGGAAUUUUCUGCUGAGGACUGACAAAGCAAUAGAACAGUACUCAGCCCAUCACUUUGUUUUUGUGAUUACUCUUUAUUGUGAAAAAUGAUCACAAUGAUACGUAGUGCAGUUCACCUCUCUUCUGCUUUGUCUUAUAGUGAUACGUACAUAUAGAACACAUCUAAAUUUGCCUUUAAAAAUAAAUAAAUACAUAACGAAAGCAAUGGCUUAAAAUGUCUUGAGUGAAACAUUCCAUAACAUACCUAUGCCUCUGGUGAUUUCCAGCAUCAAAGGUCACCCUUUCUUCUGAUCGCUUAGCAGCCUUUACAUUAAUUUCCUGCUUUAUGCAUUGUAAUAAAUUUUUUGCUUAUGUGGUUAGAUACUAAGAAUGAAGUUCACAACAGACUGGAUUUUGUAAAAUGGAUGUUGUUUCUUUUUUUUUUUUUUUUUAAACAAAGUUGUUUUUCAGAACCAUCCACUGCUUGUGUUUUUAGAAAAGUAGAAAUUGCAAAAUUUAUCACGUGCCAAAGAAGAGCAUUUGUUCAACUGUGCUCUUAAGUUGUGUAGUAAUGAAUAAACAGUAAAAUACAUGACUCUGAUUAGGAAUAAAACCAAAGCAACUGAUCUUUGCAAUGUUUUUUUGGACACUGAAUGCUGCUAAGAAGAGAAAAUGUGAAAAACAAAAGAAUGAUGAUAUAAGAUGCUGAAGAGAAUAGACAUACAGUCUAUGGUAAUUAGUGUAUAUUUUAGACAUGCUGCCAGGUGGAUGAGACAAAGGUGUGUGUUUGUCAGUGUUAUCGCUCUUGGGUUUUGAUUACUCCAGCAAUUUUAAGUGGCUGUAUUAGUAGGGAUGCAGAAAUUUCACGAUAGUUCGCACCAUCUAAUAGAUGUUUUCUAGUCACAACUCAGAGGAAAACGUUGUCUUCCUCAUAUGCUUGACAAUAACCUUUCUUCCUUGAAGUUCUGUGUACUCUGUCCCACAGUUCAUGCUGUACCUGAGCUUAACUCCGAAUUCCUUGAAUUCAAUAAUAAACUUUUCAUACAGUUGAAAGAUAUUUGACUGAUAAUCUGUUUCCAGGAUCUUAUCAGUUUAUUGUUAUUUUUUUGUGAGGGGAGUAAGUUACAUUGUUACUUGUAAUACGUGUGCAAUUACUGUAUGAAUUGUGCAAAUUUAAAUAAAGAUAUUUUGGUAACGUUUUCUGCCAAGAAGCAGUUCCUGAAUUUCACCUGGGUAAACAGGUACGAAAUAAAGUUCAGCAAUUUUUUCUCUCAUGAAAACACUGUGAGUGUAGAUUAUACAUGACUUCAGAGAUGUUCAAAAAGCCAGUAGAAUCUUGGUCCUCUAGUGUGAGGUUUGGACAGCAAACUUUAGACUUAGACUAUAGAUUAUUGGAAAUAUUUCCUCACAAGAAACCGUUGCUGAAAAAUGUUCUACUGAAACUAUUUUGCUCCUUUCUCUUCUUCUUUAUUUUCAGUUUGUAAAAAAUGAAUGUUUUCAGACAACUUUAACUGGUAACUUUUCCUUCAUUUAAUGCACAACUUUGCACCUAAUGAAGAAAACGAGAGACCCUCAAAAUCAACCUUCUUCAGGCAGUCAUUCAGGUCUGUUUUGCUGGUAUUCCAGACAAGAAACCUACGUGCUAGGGACAUGGCUGACCUGAAGGAACACAUUAGUGAUGUUUUUGAGGGAUCCUGAGUCUCCCCCAAGGGGAAACACUGCUUCAUCUCAGCGUUUUCCAAACUGGUGACAGAACCAUUUACUGUUCUUCCAAUGAGAUGCUGAAAAGGAGAGAGAAAAAAAAAAGAAAGCAUAAAACACUAGUAGAACUGCUUUCUCUAAUUCACUUCUACAUUUGUGUUGUUUUUUCUUUUUUGGUUAUAAAGUGAUCUGUCAUUAAAAAGCCUUUUCAUCCACUCCACCCCCAACAAGAAAAUGUUUCCUGAAGGCAGCAGAAGAAACUGCACCCAGCUGCCCUUUUGUUCACCAUAAUAUCAGGGCUUCUGCUUGUUAAGCAGCCACCUAUGUACUGAUUGAUGUAAAAGCCUGGAAGCACUUUGCGUUGGAGAGCUGCAUGGGGACAUAUAUCCUACAGCACCUGAGUGUUCAGAUGACUUCUGCAUUUCCCAGGCACAAAAUCCAGAGCAAUGAGCCAGCAUCAAAUAGAUUUUUAGAGAGAUUCCUGUUGGGAAAUUUUCAAGUUUAGCAUUGAAAGAUGGCAAGUGCAGAUGUACUUGAAUACAAAACAGCC